UACGAAGGGGGCUAGCGUUGCUCGGAAUCACUGGGCGUAAAGCGCACGUAGGCGGCUUUUUAAGUCAGGGGUGAAAUCCUGGAGCUCAACUCCAGAACUGCCUUUGAUACUGAGAAGCUUGAGUUCGGGAGGGGUGAGUGGAACUGCGAGUGUAGAGGUGAAAUUCGUAGAUAUUCGCAAGAACACCCGUGGCUAAGGCGGCUCUCUAGUACGGUACUGACGCUGAGACGCGAAAGCGUGGGGAGCGAACAGG
RNAcentral lists this ribosomal RNA (253 nucleotides) under uncultured bacterium. RNAcentral's name for it is "partial 16S ribosomal RNA". It matches the Rfam family "Bacterial small subunit ribosomal RNA", at positions 524 to 776 of the family's 1533-position model. The record is from RNAcentral.